RNAcentral lists this ribosomal RNA (723 nucleotides) under uncultured bacterium. RNAcentral's name for it is "bacterial SSU rRNA". It matches the Rfam family "Bacterial small subunit ribosomal RNA", at positions 9 to 774 of the family's 1533-position model. The record is from RNAcentral.
UAGCUUGAUCCUGGCUCAGGAUGAACGCUGGCGGUAUGCUUAACACAUGCAAGUCGAACGGAGUGCUUCGGCACUUAGUGGCGGACGGGUGAGUAACACGUGAGAAUCUGCCUUCAGGCCUGGGACAACAGGGGGAAACCCUUGCUAAUACCGGAUGUGCCCUUGGGUGAAAGAUUAAUUGCCUGAAGAUGAGCUCGCGACUGAUUAGCUAGUUGGUGGGGUAAAGGCCUACCAAGGCGACGAUCAGUAGCUGGUCUGAGAGGACGAUCAGCCACACUGGGACUGAGACACGGCCCACACUCCUACGGGAGGCAGCAGUGGGGAAUUUUCCGCAAUGGGGGCAACCCUGACGGAGCAAUACCGCGUGGGGGAGGAAGGCUCUUGGGUCGUAAACCCCUUUUCUCAGGGAAGAACACAAUGACGGUACCUGAGGAAUCAGCAUCGGCUAACUCCGUGCCAGCAGCCGCGGUAAUACGGAGGAUGCAAGCGUUAUCCGGAAUCAUUGGGCGUAAAGCGUCCGUAGGUGGUGUUUCAAGUCUGCUGUUAAAGCCCGGGGCUCAACCCUGGAGGAGCAGUGGAAACUGGAGUACUGGAGUGCGGUAGGGGUAGAGGGAAUUCCCGGUGUAGCGGUGAAAUGCGUAGAUCUCGGGAAGAACACCAGUGGCGAACGCGCUCUACUGGACCGUAACUGACACUGAUGGACGAAAGCUAGGGGAGCGAAUG